CCCUUAGAUGUUCUGGGCUGCACGCGCGCUACACUGAAGCGUUCAACGAGUAUUCACCUUGCCCGGGAGGGUUGGGUAAUCUUUUCAAAACGCUUCGUGAUGGGGAUAGAUUAUUGCAAUUAUUAAUCUUCAACGAGGAAUUCCUAGUAAGCGCGAGUCAUCAGCUCGUGCUGAUUACGUCCCUGCCCUUUGUACACACCGCCCGUCGCCCCUACCGAUUGAGUGAUCCGGUGAAUAAUUCGGACUGCAGCAGGCCUGGUCUCCGGGUUUUGCAGCGGAAAGUUUAGUGAACCUUAUCACUUAGAGGAAGGAGAAGUCGUAACA
This 324-nucleotide ribosomal RNA is filed under the name uncultured eukaryote. RNAcentral describes it as "partial 18S ribosomal RNA". It matches the Rfam family "Eukaryotic small subunit ribosomal RNA", at positions 1470 to 1796 of the family's 1831-position model. The record is from RNAcentral.